Molecule: ribosomal RNA, 207 nt
Filed under: Staphylococcus aureus
Lineage: Bacteria; Bacillati; Bacillota; Bacilli; Caryophanales; Staphylococcaceae
Description: partial 16S ribosomal RNA
Rfam family: Bacterial small subunit ribosomal RNA
Source: RNAcentral
UUUAUGGAGAGUUUGAUCCUGGCUCAGGAUGAACGCUGGCGGCGUGCCUAAUACAUGCAAGUCGAGCGAACGGACGAGAAGCUUGCUUCUCUGAUGUUAGCGGCGGACGGGUGAGUAACACGUGGAUAACCUACCUAUAAGACUGGGAUAACUUCGGGAAAUCGGAGCUAAUACCGGAUAAUAUUUUGAACCGCAUGGUUCAAAAGU